UACGUAGGGGGCAAGCGUUGUCCGGAAUCAUUGGGCGUAAAGCGCGCGUAGGCGGCCCGGUAAGUCCGUUGUGAAAGUCAAAGGCUCAACCUUUGAAUGCCGAUGGAUACUGCCGGGCUAGAGUCCGGAAGAGGCGAGUGGAAUUCCUGGUGUAGCGGUGGAAUGCGCAGAUAUCAGGAGGAACACCGAUAGCGAAGGCAGCUCGCUGGGACGGUACUGACGCUGAGGCGCGAAGGCGUGGGGAGCGAACAGG
This 253-nucleotide ribosomal RNA is filed under the name uncultured bacterium. RNAcentral describes it as "partial 16S ribosomal RNA". It matches the Rfam family "Bacterial small subunit ribosomal RNA", at positions 524 to 776 of the family's 1533-position model. The record is from RNAcentral.